ACUUUACAAUGCGAGCAAUCGUGAUAAGGAAACCCUGAGUGCCUGUCAAUGCAGGCUGUUCUGGUGUCUAACACACACCAGGAGAAAGGGCGGGGCAAGACCGGUGCCAGCCGCCGCGGUAAUACCGGCUGCUCGAGUGAUAGCCACUUUUACUGGGCUUAAAGCGUUCGUAGCUUGGUCGUUAAGUCUCUGGGGAAAUCUUUUGGCUCAACCAAAAGACGUCUCAGGGAAACUGGCGAUCUUGGAACCGGGAGAGGUAAGACGUACUUCGGGGGUAGGAGUGAAAUCUUGUAAUCCCCGAGGGACGACCGAUGGCGAAGGCAUCUUACCAGAACGGCUUCGACAGUGAGGGACGAAAGCUGGGGGAGCAAACCGGAUUAGAUACCCGGGUAGUCCCAGCCGUAAACGAUGUGCGUUAGGUGUGUCAGUGACCACGAGUCGCUGAGGUGCCGAAGGGAAACCGUGAAACGCACCGCCUGGGAAGUACGGUCGCAAGGCUGAAACUUAA
This 508-nucleotide ribosomal RNA is filed under the name uncultured Methanocalculus sp. RNAcentral's name for it is "bacterial SSU rRNA". It matches the Rfam family "Archaeal small subunit ribosomal RNA", at positions 347 to 859 of the family's 1478-position model. Lineage: Archaea; Methanobacteriati; Methanobacteriota; Methanomicrobia; Methanomicrobiales; Methanocalculaceae. The record is from RNAcentral.